RNAcentral lists this long non-coding RNA (2827 nucleotides) under Pectinophora gossypiella (pink bollworm). Its description in RNAcentral is "uncharacterized LOC126375752". The record is from RNAcentral. Lineage: Eukaryota; Metazoa; Arthropoda; Insecta; Lepidoptera; Gelechiidae.
AAAAAGUUAUCAUUGAAAACACUUAAAAACUACUGCUUAAAACUAAAAUAUUAUUACAUAAAUAAACAUAUACUAAUUAAUUUAACAAAACAUAUCUAUUUACAAAAUAAUUCCGUUAAUAUUGUACGACUUUAAUAAUUAUCACAUUGCGUAGGUAGCCGUACCUACAUUCCACAGCCGAGCCGUUACUCUUCCGGUCGGAUGUUCGACACAAUCCUUCUGCCUUUGUAGCGAGAACACCUCGAUUACUCGUAUAUUUUUUAAAUACGUUUUUUUACUAAUUUUGUCUACGAUAUAAUAAUUUAUAGUGUUGUGUUAUCCCCAUUAAUUGGGGUUCACCCUUCGAGUUCAGCAACCGCAGGACCCACUACCGGUCCUGUACUUACCUGCACCGUUUCACCCUUCGAGUUCAGCAACCGCUGGACCCACUACCGGUCCUGUACUUACCUGCACCGUUUCACCCUUCGAGUUCAGCAACCGCUGGACCCACUACCGGUCCUGUACUUACCUGCACCGUUUCACCUUUCGGGUUCUACAACCCGCUGGAUCCACUUUCGGUCCUAUACUUACCCCACCGCUUCUGCUGCCCUGCUGCGCGCGCCGGUGUACCCCGUGUCGUCGUGGGAAGAGUUACAGGGAAGUGGUAGUUUUCCUACUGCACCAAGGGUGCUCAGCCAGUAUCAAAUUACCUGCGACCCAGAGAUCCGAUCUAUGUACUUGCUAGGGAUUUAAUGUCAAUAAACUUGGUUUUAUUUCUAUAUACCGUUUUAUUUACCCUAGUAAGUACAACCUAUUUGAUUCGCGUGAUAAGAACGUGACAAUGGCGCCCAACUAAGGAAAUACUGAGCUGAGUAUCCUUUUUGCUGGUUUUGGCAUUUUUGGUCAUCUUUGGUGUUGGUCUGAUUAUUUUGUCUAGCUCUAAGUGAAUUGUAACUGCAACUUUUGUGUGCUGUGGUUGCUUUGUGGGAAUACCUUACUAUUUCUCUUUCAAGGUGAUUGCAUACAAUUAAAAACUCAAAAUCGAACCUACCACAUCGCACAGAAGGAAAUCUUUGAUUUUGCACUGCCAACCUCUGUCUAUCCCUGUGUUUUAAUUGUUGUGUACUUUUGAUAGUAGCAUUUGUUUUCUUGUUAUUUUCCUUCUGCCGUUUGUUGUGUUUUAGUUAUUAAGACUUCAGGUACUUGCAACACUUACUCAAAAAAUAAUUAUUCAAUUAAACUAAUUACAAUUAAAACAUAAAGUAAUAGAGAUGUCUCGUCCAAUCAAAUAUUUAUCACUUCAGAAAGAUGAACUCCUUUAUGAAGAGGUACAUGGCAUGUCAAGGAUAUUAAACUUACAAACUAUUCUAAAUAAUUAUAUCUAAACUUUUACCUAACUAAAAUAAAACUUUCUAUAUUUACAAAACUUCCUUGCUGGGAUGGAAGUGAGAGAAAAACAUAGAAUCCCCCAGCUGCUUACUAAUUCUCGAGCAGACUGUAAGAGUCAGUCAAGAGAUUGAUGUGUAAUACCAUCUAACGCCUUAGGCCUGCCAAAAACUUAAAUCUUGAGCAUGGCAUGCGUCUUCUAAUAUCUUCUAAUAUUCUCUAAAAAUACCUUAAAUACUACUUUAUAAAAAAAAAAAAAACAAAAAACAAAAACUACACUUACUAAAACUACCAAAACUCAUACUAAAAAAUCCAAAACUAGCCUAAAACAAUGUCUUACUUACUAAAACUACCUACCGUCUUAAAUAUAUUUACUUAUAUAUAGUAUUUCUAAUUUUUCUUUUUUACAAAAAAAAAAUAUUGAAUCUCCAGGCCCUACCCCUAGGACAUUCUAAUUAUUUUAUCUUCGGCCCUACCCCGAAGAUAAGAAAAUUAUACUAUAAAAAGAAAAAAACGGUUACCUUAAAUCUCCUAUUGAUUACGUGUGAGUACUAAGCUGCGGUUAAAAGUCUAGUACUCUUUUUGGAAAGGACGCAGUCACUUAAAACUAAAUAAGAUAACUGUUUGUGUGUGAAAGGGAUGAAAGAAAGUAGGGGGGUGAAUGGAAGGGUUGAAAUGAAUGUGUACCACGUAAUUUUUAGAAUGGUCAAUAGUAAGAAGGACAGACUAGGUUACAUUUUAGUCAGCGGAUUUUCUUAGCGAAAAUCCUACCCAAAAAAGGGGGGUAUGUAACGCCUGCCGCGUUUUACUACUGAGUGUAAUUGCUCUUGUUUUUCUGUUAGGAACUAUCAAAAAGUUAUCAUUGAAAACACUUAAAAACUACUGCUUAAAACUAAAAUAUUAUUACAUAAAUAAACAUAUACUAAUUAAUUUAACAAAACAUAUCUAUUUACAAAAUAAUUCCGUUAAUAUUGUACGACUUUAAUAAUUAUCACAUUGCGUAGGUAGCCGUACCUACAUUCCACAGCCGAGCCGUUACUCUUCCGGUCGGAUGUUCGACACAAUCCUUCUGCCUUUGUAGCGAGAACACCUCGAUUACUCGUAUAUUUUUUAAAUACGUUUUUUUACUAAUUUUGUCUACGAUAUAAUAAUUUAUAGUGUUGUGUUAUCCCCAUUAAUUGGGGUUCACCCUUCGAGUUCAGCAACCGCAGGACCCACUACCGGUCCUGUACUUACCUGCACCGUUUCACCCUUCGAGUUCAGCAACCGCUGGACCCACUACCGGUCCUGUACUUACCUGCACCGUUUCACCCUUCGAGUUCAGCAACCGCUGGACCCACUACCGGUCCUGUACUUACCUGCACCGUUUCACCUUUCGGGUUCUACAACCCGCUGGAUCCACUUUCGGUCCUAUACUUACCCCACCGCUUCUGCUGCCCUGCUGCGCGCGCCGGUGUACCCC